CCUGAACGCUGGCGGCGUGGCUAAGACAUGCAAGUCGAACGGGUGUAGCAAUACACCAGUGGCGGACGGGUGAGUAAUGUAUCGCUAACGUCGCCCUGGAAUCUGAGAUAGCCAAUCGGAAAGGGUUGGGUAAUACCAGAUAGAAAUAUCCUUAUCGCAUGAUGAGGAUCUACAAAGGAGCAAUCCGGUCUGGGAGGCGGGCGAUAUCGUAUCAGCUAGUUGGUGAGGUAACGGCUCACCAAGGCGACGACGCGUAGCCGGGCUGAGAGGUCGGCCGGCCACAUUGGGACUGAGACACUGCCCAGACUCCGUACGGGGGCUGCAGUAACGAAUCUUCCGCAAUGCACGAAAGUGUGACGGAG
Molecule: ribosomal RNA, 362 nt
Filed under: uncultured bacterium
Lineage: Bacteria
Description: bacterial SSU rRNA
Rfam family: Bacterial small subunit ribosomal RNA
Source: RNAcentral